This 237-nucleotide long non-coding RNA is filed under the name Ananas comosus (pineapple). RNAcentral describes it as "long non-coding RNA (ACOM_LNC044166)". The record is from RNAcentral. Lineage: Eukaryota; Viridiplantae; Streptophyta; Magnoliopsida; Poales; Bromeliaceae.
AAUGCCUUGAACUAUACAUAUAUUCACAUGAAUAUGGAAUAACUUCAACUUAGAUGUCAAAGGAGACAUAGAGGAAAAUUCUCCCAUUUUGGGAAGGUCAGACCCACCUAUCACCAAGCUCAAUCCAGCCAAUAGAAGUCCCGAAACUCAGCUCAGCGGAGCCCCAACUGUAACGUAUCGAAACCCGAAAACGAUAAUCGAACUUUGACCAAAUUGGUUAAAGUGUCGAAGGAAAGC